GCACUCAUAGCUCAAUCGGAUAGAGCAUCUGACUUCGGAUCAGAGGGUUGCGGGUUCAAUUCCUGUUGAGUGCACCA
This 77-nucleotide transfer RNA is filed under the name Fusobacterium periodonticum. RNAcentral describes it as "tRNA-Arg". It matches the Rfam family "tRNA". From Rfam's summary of the family: Transfer RNA (tRNA) molecules are approximately 80 nucleotides in length. Their secondary structure includes four short double-helical elements and three loops (D, anti-codon, and T loops). Further hydrogen bonds mediate the characteristic L-shaped molecular structure. tRNAs have two regions of fundamental functional importance: the anti-codon, which is responsible for specific mRNA codon recognition, and the 3' end, to which the tRNAs corresponding amino acid is attached (by aminoacyl-tRNA synthetases). tRNAs cope with the degeneracy of the genetic code in two manners: having more than one tRNA (with a specific anti-codon) for a particular amino acid; and 'wobble' base-pairing, i.e. permitting non-standard base-pairing at the 3rd anti-codon position. Lineage: Bacteria; Fusobacteriati; Fusobacteriota; Fusobacteriia; Fusobacteriales; Fusobacteriaceae. The record is from RNAcentral.